RNAcentral lists this ribosomal RNA (253 nucleotides) under uncultured bacterium. Its description in RNAcentral is "partial 16S ribosomal RNA". It matches the Rfam family "Bacterial small subunit ribosomal RNA", at positions 524 to 776 of the family's 1533-position model. The record is from RNAcentral.
UACGUAGGGGGCAAGCGUUGUCCGGAUUUAUUGGGCGUAAAGAGCGUGUAGGCGGCUUGGUAGGUCCGUUGUGAAAACUCGAGGCUCAACCUCGAGAUGUCGGCGGAAACCACUUGGCUAGAGUCCGGAAGAGGAGAGUGGAAUUCCUGGUGUAGCGGUGAAAUGCGCAGAUAUCAGGAAGAACACCUAUGGCGAAGGCAGCUCUCUGGGACGGUACUGACGCUGAGACGCGAAAGCGUGGGGAGCGAACAGG